Molecule: ribosomal RNA, 468 nt
Filed under: uncultured bacterium
Lineage: Bacteria
Description: partial 16S ribosomal RNA
Rfam family: Bacterial small subunit ribosomal RNA
Source: RNAcentral
GACGAACGCUGGCGGCGUGCUUAACACAUGCAAGUCGAACGGAAAGGCCCUGCUUUUGUUGGGUGCUCGAGUGGCGAACGGGUGAGUAACACGUGAGUAACCUGCCCUUGACUUUGGGAUAACUUCAGGAAACUGGGGCUAAUACCGGAUAGGAGCUCCUGCUGCAUGGUGGGGGUUGGAAAGUUUCGGCGGUUGGGGAUGGACUCGCGGCUUAUCAGCUCGUUGGUGGGGUAGUGGCUUACCAAGGCUUUGACGGGUAGCCGGCCUGAGAGGGUGUGCGGCCACAUUGGGACUGAGAUACGGCCCAGACUCCUACGGGAGGGAGCAGUGGGGAAUAUUGCACAAUGGGCGGAAGCCUGAUGCAGCAACGCCGCGUGCGGGAUGAAGGCCUUCGGGUAGUAAACCGCUUUCGCCUGUGACGAAGCGUGAGUGACGGUAAUGGGUAAAGAAGCACCGGCUAACUACGUG